This 513-nucleotide ribosomal RNA is filed under the name Aeromonas sp. secP. RNAcentral's name for it is "bacterial SSU rRNA". It matches the Rfam family "Bacterial small subunit ribosomal RNA", at positions 355 to 860 of the family's 1533-position model. The record is from RNAcentral. Lineage: Bacteria; Pseudomonadati; Pseudomonadota; Gammaproteobacteria; Aeromonadales; Aeromonadaceae.
UGGGGAAUAUUGCACAAUGGGGGAAACCCUGAUGCAGCCAUGCCGCGUGUGUGAAGAAGGCCUUCGGGUUGUAAAGCACUUUCAGCGAGGAGGAAAGGUUGGCAGCUAAUAUCUGUCAGCUGUGACGUUACUCGCAGAAGAAGCACCGGCUAACUCCGUGCCAGCAGCCGCGGUAAUACGGAGGGUGCANGCGUUAAUCGGAAUUACUGGGCGUAAAGCGCACGCAGGCGGUUGGAUAAGUUAGAUGUGAAAGCCCCGGGCUCAACCUGGGAAUUGCAUUUAAAACUGUUCAGCUAGAGUCUUGUAGAGGGGGGUAGAAUUCCAGGUGUAGCGGUGAAAUGCGUAGAGAUCUGGAGGAAUACCGGUGGCGAAGGCGGCCCCCUGGACAAAGACUGACGCUCAGGUGCGAAAGCGUGGGGAGCAAACAGGAUUAGAUACCCUGGUAGUCCACGCCGUAAACGAUGUCGAUUUGGAGGCUGUGUCCUUGAGACGUGGCUUCCGGAGCUAACGCGU